CAGUACACGCCUUAACAAGGUGAAACCGCGAACGGCUCAUUAUAACAGCUAUAAUUUACUUGACCUUGACCAGUUACUUGGAUAACUGUGGUAAUUCUAGAGCUAAUACAUGCACCGAAGUUGUUCCUCGCGGAGCAAUGCAUUUAUUUGAGCAAAACCAGGCGGCUUCGGCCGUUUCUGUUGAAUCAGAAUAACUAAGCUGAUCGCAUGGGCUUGUCCCGGCGACGUGUCUUUCAAGUGUCUGCCUUAUCAACUUUCGAUGGUAGUGUACGUGACUACCAUGGUGUUGACGGGUAACGGAGGAUAAGGGUUCGACUCCGGAGAAGGGGCCUGAGAAAUGGCCACUACGUCUAAGGAUGGCAGCAGGCGCGCAAAUUACCCACUCUCGGUUCGAGGAGGUAGUGACGAAAAAUAACAAGGCCGUUCUCUUUGAGGCCGGCCAUUGGAAUGGGUACAACUUAAACCCUUUAACGAGUAUCAAUGAGAGGGCAAGUCUGGUGCCAGCAGCCGCGGUAAUUCCAGCUCUCAAAAUGCAUAGAACCAUUGCUGCGGUUAAAAAGCUCGUAGUUGGAUCUGUGCCGGCGACGUGGUCCGCCCUAACGGGAGGUACUGCGCUCGUCGGCUUUGGGCCGGUUUUCGGUCGGUCGCCUUAACUGGCGGCCGCUCGUGGCUGGCUGGUUUACUUUGAGCAAAUCAGAGUGCUCAGCACAGGCGUCUCGCCGGAAUGUUCGUGCAUGGAAUAAUAGAAAAGGAUUUCGGUCCUCUUUUAUUGGUUUUGUGGACUGAGAUAAUGGUUAACAGAGACGGACGGGGGCAUUCGUAUUGCUGCGUGAGAGGUGAAAUUCUUGGACCGCAGCAGGACGGACUACAGCGAAAGC
RNAcentral lists this ribosomal RNA (878 nucleotides) under Paratylenchus sp. F PRS-2020. RNAcentral describes it as "SSU rRNA". It matches the Rfam family "Eukaryotic small subunit ribosomal RNA", at positions 61 to 952 of the family's 1831-position model. Lineage: Eukaryota; Metazoa; Nematoda; Chromadorea; Rhabditida; Tylenchulidae. The record is from RNAcentral.